Molecule: long non-coding RNA, 919 nt
Filed under: Homo sapiens (human)
Lineage: Eukaryota; Metazoa; Chordata; Mammalia; Primates; Hominidae
Description: HSALNT0158338
Source: RNAcentral
UAAAAUGUUAGAUUUGGAGGGGAGAUGUGCAGGUUUGUUACGUGGGUAUAUUGCAUGAUGCUGAAGCUUGGACUUCUAAUCAUCCUGUCCCCCAAGAAGUGAACUAAGUACCCUUGAUUCCCGUGCCUUCUCCUCUGCUUUUGGAAUCCCCAGUGUCUGCUGUUCCCAUCGUAAGCAGUUGCUUUAGACAGCAGCUCUAGGACGCUGGAGAAAAAUGUCCAUUUUACAAGUUAGGUGCCGAAGAAGCCACCUGAGAUGCAACAGCUUGCAUCCCUAACCCGAGGCUGGUGCGGCGCCCUUGCCCUGUGGGUCUGUUGCCCAGACCCGGACAUGCAACAAGUCCCAAACGAAGUCAGAUGAAGGGCCGAGGCCAUUAUGUAGAUAAACCAAGGGCAACAUUGGCUUCAUUCAUUCACUGGAAGCAGAAGCAAGAUGUCUAAACGGCUGUCUUCAUUCUCGGCUUGGCUACCAGGGAUCUCACCUCCUGGUAUUUGGAUGUUAGGAUACGUCACGGUGGGGCCAGUGUUUCUUUUGGGUAGAAAACUUCGGUUCAGGCUCUGAGGGAGGAAACAUUGUCAGCUAAAUGAAAUAGAGCCAAAAUUUCUUUUAUGUUUGGAGCCAAACCUUGGUCAAAAAUGGAAAGGCUUUGCCUCUGACACAGCCUGAUUUAAUUGUUGAACAAAGCCCUCUUCUUGUGGGGAAGAAAAAUGAGGACUCUAACAAUUAGCCUUCUAAAAUGUAGGCCUGCAAAAACAACUGGGAGGAAAUAGGCAGUGACAUCCAUCCGCCCACUGCUUCUUGGCCAGUUCAGGCCAAGGCCAAACAAAGGAAAAAUACAUCCAAUCGGUUCAAGAGUUCAGCUCUCCCUUCAUUAAGCGAAAAGCUGAGCUCCCCUCUCCCCGCCAGCCCAGAGCCCUGU